Gorilla gorilla gorilla (western lowland gorilla) is the source of this 148-nucleotide non-coding RNA. It matches the Rfam family "Metazoan signal recognition particle RNA". From Rfam's summary of the family: The signal recognition particle (SRP) is a universally conserved ribonucleoprotein. It is involved in the co-translational targeting of proteins to membranes. The eukaryotic SRP consists of a 300-nucleotide 7S RNA and six proteins: SRPs 72, 68, 54, 19, 14, and 9. NCBI's taxonomy places the organism in Eukaryota, Metazoa, Chordata, Mammalia, Primates, Hominidae. The record is from Rfam.
GGCGGGUAUGCUGGUGUGUGCCUGUAGUCCUAGUUACUCAGGAGACUGAGGCAGGAGGAUCACUUGAGCCCAGGAGUUUGAGGCUGCAGUGAGAUGGGAUCGCACCACUGCACUCCAGCCUGGACAACAGAGUGAGACCCUGUCUCAA